This 385-nucleotide ribosomal RNA is filed under the name uncultured bacterium. RNAcentral describes it as "bacterial SSU rRNA". It matches the Rfam family "Bacterial small subunit ribosomal RNA", at positions 524 to 906 of the family's 1533-position model. The record is from RNAcentral.
UACGUAGGGUGCAAGCGUUGUCCGGAAUUAUUGGGCGUAAAGAGCUCGUAGGUGGUCUGUCGCGUCGGCUGUGAAAACUCGGGGCUCAACCCCGAGCCUGCAGUCGAUACGGGCAGACUUGAGUGCGGUAGGGGAGACUGGAAUUCCUGGUGUAGCGGUGAAAUGCGCAGAUAUCAGGAGGAACACCGGCGGCGAAGGCGGGUCUCUGGGCCGUAACUGACACUGAGGAGCGAAAGCGUGGGGAGCGAACAGGAUUAGAUACCCUGGUAGUCCACGCCGUAAACGUUGGGCGCUAGGUGUCGGGGACCUUCCACGUCCUCGGUGCCGCAGCUAACGCAUUAAGCGCCCCGCCUGGGGAGUACGGCCGCAAGGCUAAAACUCAAAG